Molecule: long non-coding RNA, 573 nt
Filed under: Capsicum annuum
Lineage: Eukaryota; Viridiplantae; Streptophyta; Magnoliopsida; Solanales; Solanaceae
Description: long non-coding RNA (CANN_LNC021003)
Source: RNAcentral
AUCAAUAUGUCGUGCUUGCAGACGACAUAGCAAUAGGUGACGCUCCUCACCUAGUGAAGGACUUUUGGCCCGCUGAUCUCUAUAUUUGAUAAUGGCCGAGGUUGCUCAUACGAAGUGGAUGUUUCAUGACUCCCUAGGCUCAACCCAAUGUUUGGUCCCGAAGAAGAGAUUUGCCUUUGAUUAACCAUGUUGGGAGCAAUUGGAGGAGGAAUAGGCAAUUGUUUCCUUAAGUGUUGAAUCCAUCUAUUUCAAUUGCAAACUGUGUACUAUUAGCAUAUAGCGCAUUAAAUAAAUUAAAUUGCAAAAUAAUAUGCUCUCCUUUCUCCAAAUAAUUAAACAAAUAAAAUUUAAAAAGAAGGUGUGAUUUCUACCUAAUUAAUCAAGAACUUGUAGCACCGGGGAUCUCCAUAACUGAUAAUGAACGAGGCAGCUCAUAUGAAAUGGAUGCUUCAUAACUCCCAAGACUCAACGCAAAGUUUGGUCGCGUAGAAGAGAUUGGCCUUUGAUUUGGGAGUAAUUGGAGGAGGAGGAACAGGCAAUUGUGUUGUUAACUGUUCAAUCCAUCUAUUUUCA